GGCAGCUCUAGGGUGAUGCACCCCAGAAUCGGGCUCCCUCCUCUCUGGUUCCCGGUCUGUUAACCAAGAACUACA
Molecule: non-coding RNA, 75 nt
Organism: Myotis lucifugus (little brown bat)
Lineage: Eukaryota; Metazoa; Chordata; Mammalia; Chiroptera; Vespertilionidae
Source: Rfam